RNAcentral lists this ribosomal RNA (254 nucleotides) under uncultured bacterium. RNAcentral describes it as "partial 16S ribosomal RNA". It matches the Rfam family "Bacterial small subunit ribosomal RNA", at positions 524 to 776 of the family's 1533-position model. The record is from RNAcentral.
UACGUAGGGUGCGAGCGUUAAUCGGAAUUACUGGGCGUAAAGCGUGCGCAGGCGGUUAUUUAAGUCAGGUGUGAAAGCCCCGAGCUUAACUUGGGAAUGGCGCUUGAGACUGGAUAGCUUGGAGUGUGGCAGAGGGAGGUGGAAUUCCACGUGUAGCAGUGAAAUGCGUAGAGAUGUGGAGGAACACCGAUGGCGAAGGCAGCCUCCUGGGCCAGCACUGACGCUCAUGCACGAAAGCGUGGGGAGCAAACAGG